This 194-nucleotide long non-coding RNA is filed under the name Phasianus colchicus (ring-necked pheasant). RNAcentral's name for it is "lncRNA (ENSPCLG00000012776.1)". Lineage: Eukaryota; Metazoa; Chordata; Aves; Galliformes; Phasianidae. The record is from RNAcentral.
CAACUUCCGGGCAGAAGGAAGAGACAGAGGAAGGAGAAAAAAAAGUGACCAGAGGCAAGGUGCAAGGAGCAGGAAACCAAGAGAAAGCUUAUACCUCCAGACAGAAUGCAAAGGCAAAAAUAAUUGGCAUCUCUGUAAUAGCGAUCUCGCACAACUUAGUGCUGAGCAGGAGGCUGUCCCUCUGGCCUGACUAA